AUUGAACGCUGGCGGCAGGCCUAACACAUGCAAGUCGAGCGGAUGAAGGGAGCUUGCUCCUGGAUUCAGCGGCGGACGGGUGAGUAAUGCCUAGGAAUCUGCCUGGUAGUGGGGGAUAACGUCCUGAAACGGGCGCUGCUACCGCAUACGUCCUGAGGGAGAAAGUGGGGGAUCUUCGGACCUCACGCUAUCAGAUGAGCCUAGGUCGGAGUAGCUAGUUGGUGGGGUAAAGGCCUACCAAGGCGACGAUCCGUAACUGGUCUGAGAGGAUGAUCAGUCACACGGGAAGGGAGACACGGUCCAGAGUCCUACGGGAGGCAGCAGUGGGGAAUAUUGGACAAUGGGCGAAAGCCUGAUCCAGCCAUGCCGCGUGUGUGAAGAAGGUCUUCGGAUUGUAAAGCACUGUAAGUUGGGAGGAAGGGCAGUAAGUUAAUACCUUGCUGUUGUGACGUUACCAACAGAAUAAGCACCGGCUAACUUCGUG
This 484-nucleotide ribosomal RNA is filed under the name uncultured bacterium. RNAcentral describes it as "partial 16S ribosomal RNA". It matches the Rfam family "Bacterial small subunit ribosomal RNA", at positions 30 to 507 of the family's 1533-position model. The record is from RNAcentral.